Brienomyrus brachyistius is the source of this 299-nucleotide long non-coding RNA. RefSeq lists it as uncharacterized. NCBI's taxonomy places the organism in Eukaryota, Metazoa, Chordata, Actinopteri, Osteoglossiformes, Mormyridae. The record is from RefSeq and is a predicted model, not a curated record. The transcript is spliced from 3 exons.
GCAGAAAUCCUAUACGUUCAUAUCAUCAGCACCUGCGACUGACCAUGCAGACGGGAGGUGCCAGUGGGCAUGCGCAGCGCGCUUCGACGGCGGCGCGACUGCAAGCGAAGAUGGUGCCCGAGUAACCGAGACACUCCCCCUUCAGCGACAACGUAAACGGGAUCAUUCCAGCAGUCAAAAGUGAACCAAGUAUUUUCCUCAUCCCAGUAAAUUUAUGCACAAAGAUAAAUAUUUUUUUGUGUCCCGGCAAGUCCUUAAGGUCUUACUGAAGCCAUACCAAGAGAUUUACUGAGUAUGAG